RNAcentral lists this ribosomal RNA (466 nucleotides) under uncultured bacterium. Its description in RNAcentral is "bacterial SSU rRNA". It matches the Rfam family "Bacterial small subunit ribosomal RNA", at positions 917 to 1382 of the family's 1533-position model. The record is from RNAcentral.
GGACCCGCACAAGCGGUGGAGCAUGUGGUUUAAUUCGAAGCAACGCGAAGAACCUUACCAAGUCUUGACAUCCCCCUGAAUACAGAGUAACGUCUGUAGGCCUUCGGGACAGGGGAGACAGGUGGUGCAUGGUUGUCGUCAGCUCGUGUCGUGAGAUGUUGGGUUAAGUCCCGCAACGAGCGCAACCCUUAUCCUUAGUAGCCAGCACAUAAUGGUGGGCACUCUGGGGAGACUGCCAGGGAUAACCUGGAGGAAGGUGGGGAUGACGUCAAAUCAUCAUGCCCCUUAUGAUUUGGGCUACACACGUGCUACAAUGGCGUAAACAAAGGGAGGCAAAGGGGUGACCUGGAGCAAAUCCCAAAAAUAACGUCUCAGUUCGGAUUGUAGUCUGCAACUCGACUACAUGAAGCUGGAAUCGCUAGUAAUCGCGGAUCAGAAUGCCGCGGUGAAUACGUUCCCGGGUCUU